GUCUUUGUAGUAUAACUAUUACUCUGGUCUUGUAAACCAGAAAUGGAGACUAUAUCUCCCCAAGACA
This 67-nucleotide transfer RNA is filed under the name Urotrichus talpoides (Japanese shrew mole). RNAcentral describes it as "tRNA-Thr". The record is from RNAcentral. Lineage: Eukaryota; Metazoa; Chordata; Mammalia; Eulipotyphla; Talpidae.